CCCUUAGAUGUCCGGGGCCGCACGCGCGCUACACUGAAGGAAUCAGCGUGGCUUUCUCCCUGACCCGAAAGGGUUGGGAAACCCGUUGAAUCUCCUUCGUGAUAGGGAUUGGGGCUUGAAAUUGUUCCCCAUGAACGAGGAAUUCCCAGUAAGCGCGAGUCAUAAGCUCGCGUUGAUUACGUCCCUGCCCUUUGUACACACCGCCCGUCGCUACUACCGAUUGAACGGUUUAGUGAGGGCCUCGGAUUGGUCUCGGCCCGCUCUUUACCGGGUGGCGCCGUUGGUCGAGAAGACGCUCGAACUUGAUCGUUUAGAGGAAGUAAAAGUCGUAACA
RNAcentral lists this ribosomal RNA (334 nucleotides) under uncultured eukaryote. RNAcentral's name for it is "partial 18S ribosomal RNA". It matches the Rfam family "Eukaryotic small subunit ribosomal RNA", at positions 1470 to 1796 of the family's 1831-position model. The record is from RNAcentral.